CAACAACAACAACAACAACAAACCCAGUGUAUUCCCACCUAGUGGGGUCUGGGGGGGGUAAGAUGUACGCAGUCCAUACCUCUACCUCUAAAGAAGUAGAAAGGCUGUUUCCGAUAGACCCCCGGCUCAAGGCACGAGAUACCACACAAACACAUAGUAAAGCACAGCACACGAUUACAUAUCAUAAAUACGGCACCCAUAAGUAAUAUAAAACAGAGAAAAGCACACAGAUUCGUAAUAAAACAU
This 246-nucleotide long non-coding RNA is filed under the name Capsicum annuum. Its description in RNAcentral is "long non-coding RNA (CANN_LNC021052)". The record is from RNAcentral. Lineage: Eukaryota; Viridiplantae; Streptophyta; Magnoliopsida; Solanales; Solanaceae.